UACAGAGGGGGCAAGCGUUGUUCGGAAUUACUGGGCGUAAAGGGCGCGUAGGCGGCCUUCUAAGUCGAACGUGAAAUCCCCAGGCUCAACUUGGGAACUGCGUCCGAUACUGGAUGGCUAGAAUCCGGGAGAGGGAUGCGGAAUUCCAGGUGUAGCGGUGAAAUGCGUAGAUAUCUGGAGGAACACCGGUGGCGAAGGCGGCAUCCUGGACCGGUAUUGACGCUGAGGCGCGAAAGCCAGGGGAGCAAACGGG
RNAcentral lists this ribosomal RNA (253 nucleotides) under uncultured bacterium. RNAcentral's name for it is "partial 16S ribosomal RNA". It matches the Rfam family "Bacterial small subunit ribosomal RNA", at positions 524 to 776 of the family's 1533-position model. The record is from RNAcentral.